Molecule: ribosomal RNA, 910 nt
Filed under: human gut metagenome
Description: bacterial SSU rRNA
Rfam family: Bacterial small subunit ribosomal RNA
Source: RNAcentral
AGAGUUUGAUCCUGGCUCAGGAUGAACGCUGGCGGCGUGCCUAACACAUGCAAGUCGAACGCUUCACUUCGGUGAAGAGUGGCGAACGGGUGAGUAAUACAUAAGUAACCUGGCAUCUACAGGGGGAUAACUGAUGGAAACGUCAGCUAAGACCGCAUAGGUGUAGAGAUCGCAUGAACUCUAUAUGAAAAGUGCUACGGGACUGGUAGAUGAUGGACUUAUGGCGCAUUAGCUGGUUGGUAGGGUAACGGCCUACCAAGGCGACGAUGCGUAGCCGACCUGAGAGGGUGACCGGCCACACUGGGACUGAGACACGGCCCAGACUCCUACGGGAGGCAGCAGUAGGGAAUUUUCGGCAAUGGGGGAAACCCUGACCGAGCAACGCCGCGUGAAGGAAGAAGUAAUUCGUUAUGUAAACUUCUGUCAUAGAGGAAGAACGGUGGAUAUAGGGAAUGAUAUCCAAGUGACGGUACUCUAUAAGAAAGCCACGGCUAACUACGUGCCAGCAGCCGCGGUAAUACGUAGGUGGCGAGCGUUAUCCGGAAUUAUUGGGCGUAAAGAGGGAGCAGGCGGCACUAAGGGUCUGUGGUGAAAGAUCGAAGCUUAACUUCGGUAAGCCAUGGAAACUGUAGAGCUAGAGUGUGUGAGAGGAUCGUGGAAUUCCAUGUGUAGCGGUGAAAUGCGUAGAUAUAUGGAGGAACACCAGUGGCGAAGGCGACGAUCUGGCGCAUAACUGACGCUCAGUCCCGAAAGCGUGGGGAGCAAAUAGGAUUAGAUACCCUAGUAGUCCACGCCGUAAACGAUGAGUACUAAGUGUUGGGUGUCAAAGCUCAGUGCUGCAGUUAACGCAAUAAGUACUCCGCCUGAGUAGUACGUUCGCAAGAAUGAAACUCAAAGGAAUUGACGGGGG